Molecule: small nucleolar RNA, 81 nt
Filed under: Prunus dulcis (almond)
Lineage: Eukaryota; Viridiplantae; Streptophyta; Magnoliopsida; Rosales; Rosaceae
Also listed under: 2 other names
Description: sRNA ncRNA
Rfam family: Small nucleolar RNA J33
About the family: J33 is a member of the C/D class of snoRNA which contain the C (UGAUGA) and D (CUGA) box motifs. Most of the members of the box C/D family function in directing site-specific 2'-O-methylation of substrate RNAs.
Source: Rfam by way of RNAcentral
CAGUCAGAGGAAUGAUGUAUUACCGACGAGCUCUGAAGCUUCAGGCUUUUCUUGACAUGGCUACUGAAAACGGUAAGACUA